UCUCUUAAAGCCGUUCUCAGUUCGGAUUGUAGGCUGCAACUCGCCUACAUGAAGUCGGAAUCGCUAGUAAUCGCGGAUCAGCAUGCCGCGGUGAAUACGUUCCCGGGCCUUGUACACACCGCCCGUCACACCAUGAGAGUUUGUAACACCCAAAGCCGGUGGGGUAACCUUUUGGAGCCAGCCGUCUAAGGUGGGACAGAUGAUUGGGGUGAAGUCGUAACAAGGUACC
This 229-nucleotide ribosomal RNA is filed under the name uncultured bacterium. Its description in RNAcentral is "partial 16S ribosomal RNA". It matches the Rfam family "Bacterial small subunit ribosomal RNA", at positions 1272 to 1500 of the family's 1533-position model. The record is from RNAcentral.